This 178-nucleotide non-coding RNA is filed under the name Alkalicella caledoniensis. RNAcentral describes it as "6S / SsrS RNA". It matches the Rfam family "6S / SsrS RNA". Rfam says of the family: E. coli 6S RNA was the first non coding RNA to be sequenced, but its function was unknown until recently. It consists of 184 nucleotides that fold into an extended hairpin structure with a large single-stranded internal bulge. The record is from Rfam by way of RNAcentral. Lineage: Bacteria; Bacillati; Bacillota; Clostridia; Eubacteriales; Proteinivoracaceae.
AGAGCCCUACUGUGUUCGAAAAAAUCGUAUGUUUUGAGCCAACACUAAUUUUGCGGGACUGAUGCUCCUUUUAUGGCAUAUACGCCCCUUUUUAAGGGGACAUAUAAAGUAAGAGGGCAAAGACCCACCUGCUGAGGCAGGUUCAAAACUGCGAUCAACCCGGCAUGGUGGGGAAUUU